GCGGAGGAAAAGAAACUAACAAGGAUUCCCCUAGUAACGGCGAGUGAAGAGGGAAAAGCUCAAAUUUAAAAUCUGGCGGUCUACGGCCGUCCGAGUUGUAAUCUAGAGAAGUGUUUUCCGCGCUGGACCGUGUACAAGUCCUUUGGAACAAGGCGUCAUAGAGGGUGAGAAUCCCGUCUACGACACGGACUGCCAAGCGCUUUGUGAUACACUCUCAACGAGUCGAGUUGUUUGGGAAUGCAGCUCAAAAUGGGUGGUAAAUUCCAUCUAAAGCUAAAUAUUGGCGAAAGACCGAUAGCGAACAAGUACCGUGAGGGAAAGAUGAAAAGCACUUUGGAAAGAGAGUUAAACAGUACGUGAAAUUGUUGAAAGGGAAACGCUUGAAGUCAGUCGCGUCUUCAGAAAUUCAGCUAGGCUUCUGCCUAGUGUACUUUUCUGUGGGACGGGCCAGCAUCAGUUUUGGCUGCCAGAAAAAGGUCGGAGGAAGGUGGCACCUCCGGGUGUGUUAUAGCCUCUGAUCGUAUGUGGCAGCCGGGAUUGAGGACCGCAGCACGCCUUUAUGGCCGGGGUUCGCCCACGUAACGUGCUUAGGAUGCUGGCGUAAUGGCUUUAAACGACCCGUCUUGAAACACGGACCAAGGAGUCUAACAUGCCUGCGAGUAUUUGGGUGGCAAACCCAUAUGCGGAAUGAAAGUGAACAGUUGGGACUUCUGUCAUGGAAGGCACCGACGCCCGGACCAGACCUAUUGUGACGGAUCCGAGGUAGAGCAUGUAUGUUGGGACCCGAAAGAUGGUGAACUAUGCCUGAGUAGGGUGAAGCCAGAGGAAACUCUGGUGGAGGCUCGUAGCGAUUCUGACGUGCAAAUCGAUCGUCGAACUUGGGUAUAGGGGCGAAAGACUAAUCGAACCAUCUAGUAGC
RNAcentral lists this ribosomal RNA (919 nucleotides) under Geastrum triplex. Its description in RNAcentral is "LSU rRNA". It matches the Rfam family "Eukaryotic large subunit ribosomal RNA", at positions 50 to 951 of the family's 3401-position model. Lineage: Eukaryota; Fungi; Basidiomycota; Agaricomycetes; Geastrales; Geastraceae. The record is from RNAcentral.